Molecule: long non-coding RNA, 3816 nt
Filed under: Mus musculus (house mouse)
Lineage: Eukaryota; Metazoa; Chordata; Mammalia; Rodentia; Muridae
Description: predicted gene 43532
Source: RNAcentral
AGUUGAAAAUUCAAUAAAAUUGUUGAUUAUGCACUAGCACACUGAAUUAAAUAAAAGAAAAACUAGAACACCGAAGAAUGAGUAUAGGGAAUGCAGAGAACUUUCACAACAUCUAGUAUUUUAUUGUUUGUACUAUAAUCAAAGUAAAGCUCAAAGAGGGAUUAGCAUAUGACUCUAAAAGGAUGACAACUAUGGAUAACAACAUGGAAUAUAGGAGAAUUGGGGAACAGUAUGAUCAAAAUUCAGAAGAAUUGGUAUUUUCUACCUUAAAGUCUAUUACAGAUGAUUAUCAAGAUCCAUAAGCAUUGAAUAAAUUAUGAUUUGAGCAAUAUUAACUAAACAUUUUUCAGAAAGGUACUGGAUGAACCCCUUUAUCAACAUAUGGACAAUAACCAAGGAAACAUAGCCACACAAUCGUUUUCAAAAUAUAUCUGUUUUUGCAUGGUAUGAAGAGUUGAAGUCUCAAAAGAAAGAGAGAGAGAGAGAGAGAGAGAGAGAGAGAGAGAGAGAGAGAGAGAGAGAGAGAGGAAGAAGGGAAGCAAAUAGUAAUGUGAUGAGCUCUAACUCUGGCACAGAGGAGCUGCCUAUAAGAUAGGAGAUAUCAGAGGCUAACUACAAGAUUUCUUCUAAGAGAGAAAGAGAAAGAAAUGUCUUUAAUUGUUGGCUGAUGGGGUUCCAUAAAAACCACCAAGCAACUCACCUUAUUUACAUGGCUAUCGGGGAAACUAAUGGUAAGACUCUAUUGGUGACAACAAUAACUACCUAUCAUUUAACAUGGAGUGAAGACAACCUAGUGCCUAAUUAGAGCCUUCAUCCUACUUAUGAGUGUUCACCAUAUUGGAAGAUAUUCUUCAUACUAGUAGAGGAGAAAACCAAACACUAACCCAGAUACAAACCCUUCAAUCUACAAGUGACUUCUUUUUGAAUGAAUCAUUGAUACAAUAGUGGCACAAAAUUUGUGCUUGUAACCGUCUACUAUAUGUGACUUGGAUUUAAGGCUCACUCCAGUAGAUAGAACCCACCCAUAAGAGUGCUUUGUUGGUCAAGAACGUGAGACUAAAUAGUCCAUGGGCCUCUGGAAAAACCAAGUACUGUUGCUCUACUACAGGAUCAUAGUAAUAAAAUGACUUCUAAGAACACAGUACCAUAAUACCUAUAUAUCAGUGCCUCACUCAGCCAGCACCAUACUCUUCCUCCUCCAGGAGAUGAGAAUUAAUACAAAGACAAUUAACUGGAUAACUUGGAGAAAAUUUGUAUUUUGGAAUUCUCAUUUCUCAAUGGGAUGUCUUCACCAAACAAACCCCUCCUCCCCUCAGGGCUCAAGGAACUCUGGAAGAGAAAUCAGGAAAAAUGUCAAGAUGAGUAGGGAUAGAUGCCCCUGAAGAAACUGUCUUCUGGAUACAUCAGGAAUAAUGUACAUAUGAACUCAUAGAGACUGUGAAAACCUGUACAGGGCCUGCCCUACUCCAAGUCAGAUGUCUUUCCAAUACUGAGAAGGGACAUGGACAUGGACACCGAUCCCCAACCCCAAAGCUUUAUCUCUAAUAACUCUUCACACGUGAAAAAAAAAGGUAAUUUCCUCCACAUAAGGCUGGCCCCAUGCCUACUAGCAGACAGCCAAGACAAAAUAAACUUAACAGUACUAAAGGAGAUGGUUGUCUCAAAAUGAUUUCUCUGGACACUUGCUUGCCUUGCAUGUCAUUUGCAUAUCAUUAAGUUUUGUGAUUCAUUGUUUUAUGGAUUUUGUAUAUGUGUAUGUUGCUCAUCCUUUAUCUUUCCCUUUCUUUUACUUUCCCUUUUAUUCUGUUUUAUUUUAGUUUGUGCGUUUUAUUCUCUUGGCCUGUUGGUGUUUUUGUUCGUUUGUUUGUUUGUUUGUUUUUGUUUUUGUUUUUUUGGAAGAGGAAAAGAAGGCUUGGAGUUAAGGAGGUGGGAGAAUCUGGGAGGAGACAGAGGUGUGAAAAUUGUGAUCAGAAUAUACUGCAUGAAAAGAUCAACAACAACAACAAAAACCCACAUUAUUGUUGUAGUCAAUAUUUAACCUCAAUCAGGGAUUUCUACCCCGCAUAUGAUCAUUCAGUUCCCAGAUAAAAGAUACACAACUAUUAUGUUUAUAAUAAGCCUUUAAUGCACUAGUGCUGGGCAGAUAUCUGCCUUCUAAGCUAUUUGAAUCUACUUCUCCAUCUACAACUCUGAGUUAUAACUCGCCCGUUUUCAUGAUUUGCUCUUAAAUCCAAUUGGCUGGCCUCCCUGCCCAUGACUCGUCUCUACACUAUGGUGUCUUCUACAUUCUCCUCAUUUUCUCUCUCUCUCCCUCGUCAUGGUCUCUGCCCCAGACACCAAGCCUGGGCUCCAAAAUCUCAUGUCUCUUCCGCCCAGCUAUAGGCUGUCACCAUGUUUAUUCCACAAAUCGUUUUAAAUUAAGGAAAAGGGUAUAUGCAGAUUCUCUAGACUCUGGAGACAACAAGGCCUUGGGGCCAGUAAUUGAAAGGGUAAUUGGGGCCACCCGUGUCUGUUCUGUUUCAGCAAUUGACCAUUCAGGAAGGCAGGGCAAGGGAAAUCGACUGAGCUUACCCUGCACAUGUCCAGAAGCCCGGGAACACUGCUCUGGGAAUGGGGAAGUGCAGUUUGAGGCCCUGGACAGCAGAAGUUGGCUCAGGGGUCCAGGGUCGAUGAGGAAGCCAGGGCCGUCUGGUUCUCAGGCUCUCAGAUUCCUAGGUGUCAAUGGCUUGACUGUGGUGGUAGGCUUGUGCUUGGCUUGAGCUUGGCUUGGUAGUGGCCUUGGCUGAGAGCAGAAAGAAGCCUUCUAAGGGAAAUUAAACAGCAGCUUUGUAGCCAAAGGCCUUCUCCGUGGCUCACCAUGGUGGCUCCUGAUGAAAAAAGGCAGUCCUUGAUUUUAAGGCAUUUAUUGCCAUGGCAGAAAUUGGAUGUAAGAAACCCUACCCCAUUUCUCAGGGUGGGCCUGGGAUUAAAUACCUUUUUCAUGGAGGAGUGUCUGGGAAGGAAACUUAUUGGCUAAACCCACCAAGUCUUUAGCUACCUCAUUAAAAUGGAAAUCUGUCUUGAGCCUAUGUGACCAAAAAACAUGUCCUCUACUGGUGGAGGGGUUUAGGGUGCUGUCCUUACAUGACUGAUGGCCACAAAUCUAGGGAGGGCUGCCACUAUUGACCCAGGCCUGGUGCUUAUGAACAGGCAAAACACCUACCGUCCAUUCAAGGUCACCAGGGUUUCAAGUCAUAGCUCAACCAGGGACCAAGCUGCCUUUCAUGGUCUCACAAGUAUUUAACAUUACAAUACUUAGCAGAAGACCAAACCUCAACACAUUAGCUAUGUUAGUGUUAAUAUUUUAUAUACAUGCUAAUUUCUUUUUUAAAAAAUCAAAUCAUUGUAUUUUUAAUUUCUAUAUGUGACAGUCAAUUUUCUAAUCUCUCAAUUGUAUUAUUUUAUAAUAUAAUACUAAUUAUAUAAAUUAAUGUAUAAUUUAUUCAUUUUCUUGCAUUGGGAUAACAUGAAACACCAUGAAUAUGUUGGGAAAACUCCUAUCAUCAUACAUUUAUUAGUGGGAAGAACACAGCACUGACAUUUUAGUCUUAAAUAUAUAGUACCAUCUUGUUGCCUGAAAUGUUUUUAAAGUCUCUGAAGGUUCACAGUAAAUUGUUCUUUUACUGUCCUGUUAGAUUUCUGUACUUUAGGUUCUCUAGCAAUUCCGUGGUACUUGCAAGUUUUCUACGGCCAAAAGUAUGUGAAGGAAGAUAGCGAGGGAAAGUCAAUAGAUAUUUAACAGGAAGGAUUAUUGUUCUUCAAAAUAUUGUGCUCAGC